GCAGAAGAGAUCCUGACUUCUGUCAAAGAGCAAGAAGCCAUCAGGAAGCUCAUGGUUUUCUUGCAUGAAUGGGAUGGUGCCCACAAAGUUGCUCAAAGCUGCAUCCUGGACAGUUUCAUUAAAAGCAAGGCAGAACAAGAGCUGGAGCUGGAGUUCUCCCAGGGAGCCAGCUUGUUCCUGGCUCACCUAACAGCAUGGCUCAGGAUGGCAUAUCUGUUUCCUCAGACAGCUGGAGGUGCUGUGUGGUAGUGAGAUGGAGAAGAGACACGGAGACAUUCAUAUCCAGCCGUGUUCUGCAGGUCUGAAAAACAACCUGGCUAUCUAAAGAUGAAACUGAAGGGAAAGCCAUGUAACCUGUCUCUGAGGAAUGUAGAAUUAGUGUUUUUCUUGCAGUGGGAUGAGCAUGCUGCCUCUGCCUGCCUGUGAGAGGAAGAUCCAUGCUCUCUUGCAAGAGACAGUACCCAGUUCAGACCUCCAUCUGCUGCAGCGAGGCAGGAGGUGAUGGCUCCCAGGAGCACGGCCUGCUGGCAGAGGAAGAUGGGCUCCAAGGCAGGAGAUGCUUCUGGCUUUGUUCCCUCUAUCCUUGAAGCCACAGAUACCUUAAUGAAUUUCUGGAGAUCGGAGGUGCCUCAAUUCCCCUGGAAAUACCGGGGCUGUACCACCUGAAAGAAGAGGACAAAAGGGAGUCUGUAAAGCUGCUGCCACUCACUGCAGAUGCUGAGGUACCAAACCUUGCCAAGUUCUUGGCCUCUUCCAACAAAGCAGAGGGUCAAGAAGACACACAGGUUCUGCUGGACUCUUCAGGCCAUGGCAGUCCCAAGUACCAGAACCAGGUCUGCCUUGUACCUGUGCUGCUCUGUACCUCUCCACAGGCCCAGCAGGGGCUCUGCCGAUGCUCAGGGUCGUGCAGGCCCAUCCUGAAACCUGGCACACAAAAAUGGAUCCAGUCCAGACUGAAUAACUGGCCUCCCCUCUAGUCAGCAUCCCCAGAGACAUGGCAAGGACGCAGUCCACAGAAGGUGAGUGCAGAGCUGGAUGCACUGUCACUGAAAUUACACCCUUAACUUUCAGAGGGAGAAGACAGCUCAAAGAAGGAAUAGUAGUAGAAGGCUCCCCUUGUGAUCUGAUGCUUGCAUAGCUGCAUCCAAUGUUGCUGAACCUAGAGCCUACAGGCCUGUUUUGUUCUUUUCAAGACAACCCCUGGCCUGAGUUGAACAAAUAGAAAAGA
Molecule: long non-coding RNA, 1228 nt
Filed under: Manacus vitellinus (golden-collared manakin)
Lineage: Eukaryota; Metazoa; Chordata; Aves; Passeriformes; Pipridae
Description: lncRNA (ENSMVIG00005012498.1)
Source: RNAcentral